RNAcentral lists this ribosomal RNA (406 nucleotides) under uncultured bacterium. RNAcentral's name for it is "partial 16S ribosomal RNA". It matches the Rfam family "Bacterial small subunit ribosomal RNA", at positions 30 to 526 of the family's 1533-position model. The record is from RNAcentral.
AUUGAACGCUGGCGGCAGGCCUAACACAUGCAAGUCGAACGAGCGGCGGACGGGUGAGUAAUGUCUGGGAAACUGCCUGAUGGAGGGGGAUAACUACUGGAAACGGUAGCUAAUACCGCAUACCAUCCGAUGUACCCAGAUGGGAUUAGCUAGUUGGUGGGGUAACGGCUCACCAAGGCGACGAUCCCUAGCUGGUCUGAGAGGAUGACAAGCCACACUGGAACUGAGACACGGUCCAGACGCCGACGGGAGGCAGCAGUGGGGAAUAUUGCACAAUGGGCGCAAGCCUGAUGCAGCCAUGCCGCGUGUAUGAAGAAGGCCUUCGGGUUGUAAAGCACUUUCAGCGGGGAGGCGUUACCCGCAGAAGAAGCACCGGCUAACUCCGUGCCAGCAGCCGCGGUAAUUC